GAUGAACGCUGGCGGCGUGCCUAAUACAUGCAAGUCGAGCGAACAGACGAGGAGCUUGCUCCUCUGACGUUAGCGGCGGACGGGUGAGUAACACGUGGAUAACCUACCUAUAAGACUGGGAUAACUUCGGGAAACCGGAGCUAAUACCGGAUAAUAUAUUGAACCGCAUGGUUCAAUAGUGAAAGACGGUUUUGCUGUCACUUAUAGAUGGAUCCGCGCCGCAUUAGCUAGUUGGUAAGGUAACGGCUUACCAAGGCAACGAUGCGUAGCCGACCUGGGAGGGUGAUCGGCCACACUGGAACUGAGACACGGUCCAGACUCCUACGGGAGGCAGCAGUAGGGAAUCUUCCGCAAUGGGCGAAAGCCUGACGGAGCAACGCCGCGUGAGUGAUGAAGGUCCUCGGAUCGUAAAACUCUGUUAUUAGGGAAGAACAAAUGUGUAAGUAACUAUGCACGUCUUGACGGUACCUAAUCAGAAAGCCACGGCUAACUACGUG
This 497-nucleotide ribosomal RNA is filed under the name uncultured bacterium. Its description in RNAcentral is "partial 16S ribosomal RNA". It matches the Rfam family "Bacterial small subunit ribosomal RNA", at positions 28 to 507 of the family's 1533-position model. The record is from RNAcentral.